Molecule: ribosomal RNA, 463 nt
Filed under: uncultured bacterium
Lineage: Bacteria
Description: partial 16S ribosomal RNA
Rfam family: Bacterial small subunit ribosomal RNA
Source: RNAcentral
GCCUCCCUCUUUCUUCGUGCUUAACACAUGCAAGUCGAACGGAAAGGCCUUUUCGGCGGUACUCGAGUGGCGAACGGGUGAGUAACACGUGGGUGAUCUGCCCUGCACUCUGGGAUAAGCCUGGGAAACUGGGUCUAAUACCGGAUAGGACCGCACUUUAGUGUGUGUGGUGGCAAGUUUUUUCGGUGUAGGAUGAGCCCGCGGCCUAUCAGCUUGUUGGUGGGGUAAUGGCCUACCAAGGCGGCGACGGGUAGCCGGACUGAGAGGUUGGUCGGCCACAUUGGGACUGAGAGACGGCCCAGACUCCUACGGGAGGCAGCAGUGGGGAAUAUUGCACAAUGGGCGCAAGCCUGAUGCAGCGACGCCGCGUGGGGGAUGACGGCCUUCGGGUUGUAAACUCCUUGCGCCAGGGACGAAGCGUUUUGUGACGGUACCUGGAGAAGAAGCACCGGCUAACUACGUG